Molecule: non-coding RNA, 1590 nt
Organism: Agelaius phoeniceus (red-winged blackbird)
Lineage: Eukaryota; Metazoa; Chordata; Aves; Passeriformes; Icteridae
Source: RefSeq, a predicted model, not a curated record
AGGGAGGGGGCGUGGCUCACCCUGACCCCUCCCCUUUAUAAUUUUUUGGGGAGGGGGCGUGGCUCACCCUGACCCCUCCCCUUUCCCCUCCCCCCCAGGUGAUUUCGGCCCCUCGGAGCCCCUCGGGCCCCCCCAAACUGGGGGCAUUGGGGGGGGGGCGGUCCCCAAUGGGCACCUGCCCGGAGCCGCCCCCCCCGGGGCCCCCCCCCAGCCCCGAGCAGAUUUUGGGGGCGCGUUUGAGGCUCCUGGGGGGACAAUUUCCAGCACAGCUACGAGAGACAGCGCCGCGGCCGGGGCCCGUUCUGGGCGCCGCUGCUCCGCUGGGUGGCGCCGUGGGUCGGGGCCGCGCCCGCAGCGCCCCUGGCGGCCAGAGGGGGGAACUGACCCCGGAAACGGCGGAGAACAGCGGGAAAACAGCUGGAAAACACCCGGAAAACAGCUGGAAAAUACCUGGAAAACACCUGGAAAUACCUGGAAAAUAUCUGGGAAUACCUGGAGAACACCUGGAGAAAGGCGCGGGACGCUCACAGGAGGGAAUCGCCCUCAGAGGGAGCACAAAGCACAAAACCCCCCCCGGAUCGGAGUUGGUAGCGCCCAACCCCCCUCGGGUUUUAUUUAUUUGGGGUAAUUUAUUCAUGGGGGAGGGGGGGGGUCCCCAAAAUUGGGCUGAGACCCCCAAAAAUGUGGCAGGAAGGGGGGACCCCCCCCAAAAACAAAGGGUUGUAAAUGGUGUAAAUUAGGGGGGUGUACAUUGAAAUUUUGGGGUGUAAAUUUAAAAUUUUUGGGUGUAAAUUUAAAUUUUUGGGUGUAAAUUUAAAUUUUUUGGGGUGUAAAUUUAAAAUUUUUGGGUGUAAAUUUAAAUUUUUGGGGUGUACAUUGAAAUUUUGGGUGUAAAUUUAAAUUUUGGGGUGUACAUUGAAAUUUUGGGUGUAAAUUUAAAUUUUUUUGGGGUGUAAAUUUGAAUUUUUUGGGGUGUAAAUUAAAUUUUUUGAGGUUUUUUUCAGGGGUGAAAUAAUGGGGGGACCCCCCCUCAAAAUGGUGCUGGGGGGGGUCAGGACCUCCCCCAAAUUAUUUUUUUUUAGGGGGGGGAGAACCCCAAAAAAACCCCAAAACUCCCCAAAAAAACCCCAAAAAAGGGCUGUAAAUGCUGUAUAUGGGCUGUAAAUGGGGCAAUUUUGGGGUUUUUUUGGGUUUUUUUUGGGGGGGAUUUUGGGGACCCCUUCCGGAUGGUGCUGAGGGGGUGAACCCCAAAAAAACCCCAAAAUCCCCCCAAAAAACCCCAAAACCGGGGCUGUACAUGCUGUAUAUGGGCUGUACAUUGUAUAUAGGAUUAUUGUACAUUUUUGGGGGUUUCUGUACAAUUUUUUGGGGGUUUCUGUACAAUUUUUUGGGGGUUUCUGUACAAUUUUUUGGGGUUUCUGUACAAUUUUUGGGGUUUCUGUACAUUUUUGGGUGGUUUGUACAUUUUGGGGGUUUCUGUACAUUUUGGGGGUUUCUGUACAUUUUUUUGGGGUCUGUACAGGAAUUUUUGGGGUGGGGGGGUUCCCAUUUUUUGUACUUUUGUUUGCAAUAAAUCGAUUUACCACAGAA